Molecule: ribosomal RNA, 413 nt
Filed under: uncultured bacterium
Lineage: Bacteria
Description: bacterial SSU rRNA
Rfam family: Bacterial small subunit ribosomal RNA
Source: RNAcentral
AAUGAACGCUGGCGGCGUGCUUAACACAUGCAAGUCGAGCGAGGCCUGGGGGGCAACUCCCAGAGUCGAGCGGCGGACGGGUGAGUAACACGUGGGUAACCUGCCCGGAAGUGGGGAAUACCUCGGGGAAACUCGAGCUAAUACCGCAUGACAUCUCCGGGACGAAAGUCCUGGCGAUCAAAGCGGGGGUCGCAAGAUCUCGCGCUACCGGAUGGGCCCGCGCCCGAUUAGCUAGUUGGGAGGUAACGGCUCACCAAGGCUUCGAUCGGUAACCGGCCUGAGAGGGCGAUCGGUCACACCGGAACUGAGACACGGUCCGGACUCCUACGGGAGGCAGCAGUGGGGGAAUCUUGCGCAAUGGGCGAAAGCCUGACGCAGCAACGCCGCGUGGAGGAUGAAGGCCCUUGGGUUGU